RNAcentral lists this long non-coding RNA (4601 nucleotides) under Brassica napus (rape). RNAcentral describes it as "long non-coding RNA (BNAP_LNC011915)". Lineage: Eukaryota; Viridiplantae; Streptophyta; Magnoliopsida; Brassicales; Brassicaceae. The record is from RNAcentral.
UUCUCUCCCUUCUUGAUCUCGUCGUAAGCCAUCCUCAGCGCUUCGAGCUGCAUCGUCUGAUUUCCUCCGCAAUGGCUUGCGAUGAAGAGUAAUCGCAUGAUCUUCGUUCGUCCUUUGUAAAGCGACGCGUAAGCUUCGAUGUCGAGAGGUUCGCCGCUUAUAAUAGGUCUCCGAUUAGAUGUUUCUUCGCCUCCUCCGUUAGUGCACAUCUCCAUCAUCGGUCCGCUUGAUUCUUCGUCGCGCUCCAUCGAUUCGUCGAGAUUUAGGGUUUUGUUUUUUUUUGCUCUGCUCAGAAGUUAUUUUGAGCUUCCUUUGAGUUUCUUCUCUCUUCUGAUCGGAGGGGCUGGUUAUUAAUUUUGUAUUAAGUAGAGAAAUAUACGUCGGUCCGGUUUAGGCCCAUCUCAAUAUAAUAGUUGGGUUUUUAAUUUUCUUUUCUUUUUAACACACUUAGUUGGGUCCUUGAUAAGGCCACGAAGGACCGUAUCUUGCGGACAGGUGUUAACAAAUGAGAGGAUAGAGGUUUGGUUACGCGUUGAACGCGAUCAAACUUUCCUUUCUCUCUCUCGAAUCCUCUCUUCCACGAAAAGGAAAGGCGAAUCGUCGGCGACGUCUCGGAGCAGCAACCAGCAGCAAUGGCGGUUUCUCUCUCCUCGUCGACGAUCACUCCCAUGACGCUCCAGCCGAAGCUGAAACCGAUUCAUGGCUUAGGGACACUAAAAUUCGGUUAUUUGGUGAAUUCUCAUCUUCCUAAAACCAGAACCGAUGUCUCUCUCCGGCGUAGCGCUAUCGUCGCAUCUGCCAUUACCGGCGCUUCAGGUAAGCUUAAACACCUUCUCUUUUGUUCUGUUCUGUUAUGUUAUGUUCUCUUAUGAUCUGUUAUGUUCUCUUAUGAUCUGUUCUGUAGAAACUGAGAUUCCGUAUUCCUUACGAGAUUGUAUCGAUUCUCCGACAGGAACUGAAACUGCCGAUUUGCUAGAGACAGUGAAAGUCUCGGACUUGAAAGGAAACGAGAUUCCGAUCUCUGAUUUAUGGAAGGAUAGGAAAGCCGUUGUUGCAUUUGCUCGUCAUUUCGGGUGUUGAACUAAAUUGAUCACUGUUGACAAAGUGAAACUGAUAUUAGUUGGGGAGAUGAGAUAUGAGUCCCCACAUGCGUAGAAAAAAUGUUCUCAUAAUUGAUACUGGCCCAUGGAACCAAGUGUGUACUUAGAAGUUUGACCAUAUUCACUUUCAAUGUGAGUUCCAUGCAUUUUCAGAUUCACACUUAGGAUUUGAUUCAAAGUCCAAUGAUUGAUACUUCAAAGAAGCUUAGAAAUUAAAAGUCAAGAAAACAAAGGCAGUAACAAAUAGAGCAGAGAUGAUUGUCUAGACAUAUAUCUAACAAAUAACUAAAAAACCAAAGCAAUCUUUCAUAAACAUCUUUAUAACCUUGGAAUAGACCAGUCACCAGUGCCUCUCGGGUUAGCCAAACAGAUGAAGUCCAUCUCAAUGGUUUCUUCCAGCUCUGGCAUGAUACUCAUGUUUAAGAAGGUUGGCUCUCAACAUCAUUGACCUGACAUCUCUAUCGAACUCGUUACCCAUCUGAAGCACCUUUUGGAAAGUUGCAUUCCUCUGAUCAGCGUGCCUUGCAUAGAGGAUUUUGUUGUGAGAAUCAAUCCGUGCCUGUCGGGAAUGGAAAAAAAAAGGGUUUAAUGGUUUCGAAAUGACAGUAAUAAGACAAAGUUUCUAUAUUGAAACAGAACGAACCUGUAUCUGGUUGUCUGUUAUCAAGGCUUCCAGUUCCUUCUCUAGACCAGAGACACUCGUCUUGAACGCAUCAGCCAUCCUACUCAAAUCAACAGAAACAAAUGGCAGUGUGUACUGGAUCAACGCCUUCUUCCUUAUCUGAUCAUAGAGUGUGUCGACGUGAUCAUGAAGAUGGAUGUCCAGCAGCAGAUUCGCUCUGAGACUUCCGAGAUACUCCAGACAAGAAGCAUAGCGGCUGCCAACAAGGGCAGUUAAACAUGAGAUUUGAUAGGAGAAAAAGGUUCAUGUCGUUGUGAUAGAUAAGAAUUUGGAGAAGUCUUCAUAAGCAAGACGGUAUAGAAUUCAACAUAACCCACAGUUCAGUGAGUUGGUCAGAGCCAAUGGUUAGAAUAAAUACUGAUAAAAUGGACAAGAGUUUGUAAGAAACAUGUUAGACAAGAGUUUUGCAUGAAACAUGUUACCUUGAAUAGAAAUCGUUAAUAAGUUCCCUCACUUCGGGUACUAGCUCCAAGAAAUCCCGGAAGUUGAUGUUGUCAAUCACUUUUGCCUGUCACAUAAGAUUAGUGAGUUAUGGAUCAAGGGACAAUGAAACCAAAAACUGACAACUAAUGAGAAAAAUCUUAAAGGGAUAAAUGCCUUCAAUUCUGAUCGAUCAAAGCUAGCCAGUGCACAAAGUCCUCCAUAGGUUGCAACGUCUUGAGGAGCAAUGACCUCGUUAUAUGAAUUCCCAAGUUCUGGACUAACAUCCAAAAACUGCACAAGACAAAAUCCAAGUCCAACGAUUAGACAUCAAUAAGAUCUUGAGCUUUAGAAAACGACAAUUCGACAGACCUUACGAGCAGCGAGCUUAUCCUUCUUCAGCUCCAAGUGAGCCAAUCCAGAAGCACAUCGGAGUUUAGCAGCUACAAAAGGGUCAAGGGUUUCAGGGUUCUGCUCUGCCUUGUUCACGUAGCUUGACACAUGAGUGAACUGUCCCAUCUCGAUGCUCACAAGAAUGGCGUUCAUACACAUGUGAAUAAUGUGCUUAGCCGUGGUGCAGUAGUCUCGUGUUCGAACAUAGUUCUUGAAAGCAUCACUGAGCAAACCACAAGCAUAGUAGAAGUCACCAAAAUCAUUAUGACCCAUUCUGAUGCUUUCCUUGAUCAGAUUAGUCUGCAUAAUCAAGACAGUAGAUGAAAUCACUAUUUACACAAUUACAGAGUCAAACAAGCGUUUAGAUAAAGUACUAAGCAGCACGUAAACAACGCUACUUCAAUCUCUUGAGUAAUAAUUUGAGAAACAACAUCAUAAAAGCCAGUAGUAGAGAAUCAUCAUUAAUAGACAACAAUGAACAAAUUCUGAUGCUUUCCUUGAUCAUAUUUGUCGGUAUAAUCAAAACAGAAGAAUCGCUGCUUAUGUAAUUACAUAACCAAGCAAACGAAUUAUCAGAAAAGAGCUAUAGAAACACACUUAGCAGCACAUAAACAACACACGUACUUAAUUAUAUAAGUAAUGAAGUGAAACAAUAUCAUAAACAAUCAGCGGUAGAGAAACAUGAACCCAUUCUGAUGCUUUCCUUAAACGUUUGUAUUAUCAAAUAGAAGAUGAAUCUAUAGUUCUGCAAUUAAACGAAUCACCAGAAAAAAAGAGCCACGCACACACUAAGCUACACAGAAACAACACUACACACUUCAUUGUCUAAGUAAUGAUUCACCAGAAAAGAGCGAUGCAAACACACAAAGCAGCACAUAAACAACACCACAUACUUCAUUACCUAAGUAAUGAACUGAGAAACAGCAUCAUAAGCAAUCAGCAGUAGAGAGUCAUCGUUAUACAGAUAACCAUGAACCCACUCUGAUGCUUUCCUUGAACGUUUGUAUAAUCAAAUAAAAGAUGAAUCUAUAGUUAUUCAAGUAAACGAAUCACCAAAAAAGAGCCAUGCAAACACACUAAACAGCACAUAAACAACACUACAGACCUCAUUCUCUAAGUAGUUAAUUGAGAAACAACAUUAAAAAUCAGCAGUAAAGGGUCAUAAUUAACAGAUGAGCUAUUCUGAUGCUAACGUUUGUAUAAACAAAUAGAAGAUGGAUUCAUAGUUCUGCAAGCAAAUGAAUCUCCAGAAAAAGAGCUACGUAAACACACUAAGCAGCACAUAAACAACACUACACUGAGAAACAGUAUCAUAAACAAUCAGCAGUAGAGAGACAUCGUUAUACAGGCAACCAUGAACUCAUUCUCAAUUUGUCAUAUGCUUUCCUUAAGCGUUUUGCAUAAUCAAAUAUAGUAGUUCUGUAAGCAAACGAACUACGCCUACACUAAGCAGCACAAACAACACACCGCAUACUUCAUUCUCUAAGAAUCUAAUAUAAACAGAAUCAUCAAAAUCAGUAGUAGAGAGUCACAACAAGCGAUUUACCCGAUACGAACUGAGCUCGUUCUCAAGCCUUCCUUUCUUCUGCUCAGCACGACGAUCUACACUUUCACACCAAGCCGAAUCCAUCUUGUACUUAUCCCCAAGCCUCCCGUUGAUCCUGUUAACCACGUCUCUGAACAACUGCGUGUUCUCUCCCUUCUUGAUCUCGUCGUAAGCCAUCCUCAGCGCUUCGAGCUGCAUCGUCUGAUUUCCUCCGCAAUGGCUUGCGAUGAAGAGUAAUCGCAUGAUCUUCGUUCGUCCUUUGUAAAGCGACGCGUAAGCUUCGAUGUCGAGAGGUUCGCCGCUUAUAAUAGGUCUCCGAUUAGAUGUUUCUUCGCCUCCUCCGUUAGUGCACAUCUCCAUCAUCGGUCCGCUUGAUUCUUCGUCGCGCUCCAUCGAUUCGUCGAGAUUUAGGGUUUUGUUUUUUUUUGCUCUGCUCAGAAGUUAUUUUGAGCUUCCUUUG